Molecule: RNase P RNA, 353 nt
Filed under: Chloroflexota bacterium
Lineage: Bacteria; Bacillati; Chloroflexota
Description: Chloroflexi bacterium (hot springs metagenome) RNase P RNA component class A
Rfam family: Bacterial RNase P class A
About the family: Ribonuclease P (RNase P) is a ubiquitous endoribonuclease, found in archaea, bacteria and eukarya as well as chloroplasts and mitochondria.
Source: RNAcentral
CAAGUAAACCGGGUGACCGCUCCGGCUUCGCCGGAGAGGAAAGUCCGAGCUCCGUGGGCAGGAUGCUGGGUAACACCCAGGAGGGGCGACCCUACGGAAAGUGCCACAGAAACAUACCGUCCUUCUUCGGAAGGAUAAGGGUGAAAUGGCGAGGUAAGAGCUCACCAGCGACCGGGUGACCGGUCGGCUGCGGUAAACCCCAUCUGGAGCAAGGCCAAAUAGAGGGACUAUGGGUAAGCCCGGCCCGUCCCCGGGUUGGCCGCAUGAGCUGGAUGGUAACAUCCAGCCUAGAUAGAUGGUCACCGUCCUUCUUAGGAAGGAUACAGAACUCGGCUUACAGGUUUACUUGACCC